RNAcentral lists this long non-coding RNA (343 nucleotides) under Piliocolobus tephrosceles (Ugandan red Colobus). RNAcentral's name for it is "lncRNA (ENSPTEG00000039479.1)". Lineage: Eukaryota; Metazoa; Chordata; Mammalia; Primates; Cercopithecidae. The record is from RNAcentral.
AGUAAACAGUGCUGCCCUAAUCUGUCUAAAGCCAUGAGGUCGAAGAGGGCGGUGUGUGUGGGGUGAGUCUGAAGCCACAGGCGGAGGAGGAGGAGGAGGAGGAGGAGGAGGAGGAGGAGAAGAAGAAGAAGAAGAAGAAGAAGAAGAAGAGAGAAGAGAAGAGAAGAGAAAGAAGAAAGAAGAAAGGGAAGAAAGAAGAAAGAGAAGAGGAAGAGGAGGAAGAGGAAGAGGAGGAAGAGGAAGAGGAAGGGGAAAAGGGGAAGAAGAAUCGCUAAGUAGCAGCUUUAUACUCAGGCUUCUUGUUUACAUAAUGGGGAGGAAUUAUCUACAGUGGAAACCAUGA